GGUCAGUGAUGUGAUGUAAAAGGUCUGAAUCUCAGCUCCUCCCCCUCUGCCGCCAUCUUGGCUCCCAGCAGCCCCUGCUCUCUGCUCCCAUCAUGCUCUAGUGAUGCAGUGAUGGUCUCAGGAGCUGCUGACAGACAGGAAGUGACAUCACAGAGUGAGUCUGUACAGAGAUCCUAUUGGCUCAGAGUGAUGACUGAUGUCCAACAGAACCAAUCAGCACGGAGCGUCAGGCCGAAGGGGUGGGGCUUGAGAGAUGAUCUCACUCUGCUGCUGAGACC
Molecule: non-coding RNA, 278 nt
Organism: Lates calcarifer (barramundi perch)
Lineage: Eukaryota; Metazoa; Chordata; Actinopteri; Centropomidae
Source: Ensembl